Molecule: ribosomal RNA, 492 nt
Filed under: uncultured bacterium
Lineage: Bacteria
Description: partial 16S ribosomal RNA
Rfam family: Bacterial small subunit ribosomal RNA
Source: RNAcentral
AGUGAACGCUGGCGGUAGGCCUAACACAUGCAAGUCGAACGGCAGCACAGUAAGAGCUUGCUCUUACGGGUGGCGAGUGGCGGACGGGUGAGGAAUACAUCGGACUCUACUUUUUCGUGGGGGUUAACGUAGGGAAACUUACGCUAAUACCGCAUCCGACCUACGGUUGAAAGCAUGGGAUCUUCUGACCUUGCGCGAUUGAAUGCGCCGAUGUCGGAGUAGCUAGUUGGCGGGGUAAAGGCCCACCAAGGCGACGAUCCGUAGCUGGUCUGAGAGGAUGAUCAGCCACACUGGAACUGAGACACGGUCCAGACUCCUACGGGAGGCAGCAGUGGGGAAUAUUGGACAAUGGGCGCAAGCCUGAUCCAGCCAUACCGCGUGGGUGAAGAAGGCCUUCGGGUUGUAAAGCCCUUUUGUUGGGAAAGAAAAGCAGCAGGUUAAUACCCCGCUGUUCUGACGGUACCCAAAGAAUAAGCACCGGCUAACUUCGUG